Molecule: transfer RNA, 55 nt
Filed under: Parachtes teruelis
Lineage: Eukaryota; Metazoa; Arthropoda; Arachnida; Araneae; Dysderidae
Description: tRNA-Ser
Source: RNAcentral
UAGAUUUUAGCGAAGUAUUUUGAAAAUACAUAAUAAGGUUCUGCCUUUAAAUAAA